RNAcentral lists this ribosomal RNA (496 nucleotides) under uncultured bacterium. Its description in RNAcentral is "partial 16S ribosomal RNA". It matches the Rfam family "Bacterial small subunit ribosomal RNA", at positions 29 to 507 of the family's 1533-position model. The record is from RNAcentral.
AUGAACGCUGGCGGCGUGCCUAAUACAUGCAAGUCGAGCGAACAGACGAGGAGCUUGCUCCUCUGACGUUAGCGGCGGACGGGUGAGUAACACGUGGAUAACCUACCUAUAAGACUGGGAUAACUUCGGGAAACCGGAGCUAAUACCGGAUAAUAUAUUGAACCGCAUGGUUCAAUAGUGAAAGACGGUUUUGCUGUCACUUAUAGAUGGAUCCGCGCCGCAUUAGCUAGUUGGUAAGGUAACGGCUUACCAAGGCAACGAUGCGUAGCCGACCUGAGAGGGUGAUCGGCCACACUGGAACUGAGACACGGUCCAGACUCCUACGGGAGGCAGCAGUAGGGAAUCUUCCGCAUUGGGCGAAAGCCUGACGGAGCAACGCCGCGUGAGUGAUGAAGGUCUUCGGAUCGUAAAACUCUGUUAUUAGGGAAGAACAAAUGUGUAAGUAACUAUGCACGUCUUGACGGUACCUAAUCAGAAAGCCACGGCUAACUACGUG